ACGUAUCCAACCUGCCGUCUACUCUUGGACAGCCUUCUGAAAGGAAGAUUAAUACAAGAUGGCAUCAUGAGUCCGCAUGUUCACAUGAUUAAAGGUAUUCCGGUAGACGAUGGGGAUGCGUUCCAUUGGAUAGUAGGCGGGGUAACGGCCCACCUAGUCUUCGAUGGAUAGGGGUUCUGAGAGGAAGGUCCCCCACAUUGGAACUGAGACACGGUCCAAACUCCUACGGGAGGCAGCAUG
This 240-nucleotide ribosomal RNA is filed under the name uncultured bacterium. RNAcentral describes it as "partial 16S ribosomal RNA". It matches the Rfam family "Bacterial small subunit ribosomal RNA", at positions 115 to 353 of the family's 1533-position model. The record is from RNAcentral.